RNAcentral lists this ribosomal RNA (393 nucleotides) under Triticum aestivum (bread wheat). RNAcentral describes it as "partial small subunit ribosomal RNA". Lineage: Eukaryota; Viridiplantae; Streptophyta; Magnoliopsida; Poales; Poaceae. The record is from RNAcentral.
AUGAAUAUCCUAGCCUAGAACUGUCGAGGACUGGGGUUGGACUCGACAGUAGGCGAAUUACGAGACCUGGUAAGGUCCUACAACCCAGCGGUGGUGUUCUUAUCUGAAACAAAGAAGAGGUCACGAGCGAUGCAGAAAAUACAAUGGAGCCUAGGCUUCAAUAAGGGGGUGGCGGUGGAUUGUGACGGGAAAAGCGGAGGUUUAUCACUAUGGUGGAGAGACUAUCUGGAUGUUACGGUAAGGCCUUGGAGCCAGUACUACAUUGAUGCAGAAAUAGUGGCAGAUGGGAACACUUUUAGAUUCACUGGAAUCUAUGGUGAACCAUGCGUGGAAAAGAGACAGAGAACUUGGGAGGUUAUCCGAUACCUGCGCCGACAAGAUGAUCUACCUUGA